Molecule: ribosomal RNA, 305 nt
Filed under: uncultured bacterium
Lineage: Bacteria
Description: partial 16S ribosomal RNA
Rfam family: Bacterial small subunit ribosomal RNA
Source: RNAcentral
ACAGCAGUCGCCGCGGUAAAACGUAGGGGGCAGGCGUUAUCCGGAAUUACUGGGUGUAAAGGGAGCGUAGACGGUUAAACAAGUCUGAAGUGAAAUGCCGGGGCUCAACCCCGGAGCUGCUUUGGGAACUGUAGAACUGGAGUGUCGGAGGGGUAAGCGGAAUUCCCAGUGUAGCGGUGAAAUGCGUAGAUAUUGGGAGGAACACCGGCGGCGAAGGCGGCUUACUGGACGACAACUGACGUUGAGGCUCGAAGGCGUGGGUAGCAAACAGGAUUAGAUACCCCUGUAGUCCCUGUCUCUUAUAC